CGGCAUGCCUCAUACAUGCAAGUCGAACGAGGUCUUCGGACCUAGUGGCGCACGGGUGAGUAACAUGUGGGAAUCUGCCUGAAGGUUCGGAAUAACUGCGGGAAACUGUAGCUAAUACCGGAUGUGUCUGCAAAGAGAAAGAUUUAUCGCCUUCAGAUGAGCCCGCACUAGAUUAGCUAGUUGGUGAGGUAACUGCUCCACCAAGGCUACGAUCUAUAGCUGAUUUGAGAGGAUGAUCAGCCACACUGGGACUGAGACACGGCCCAGACUCCUACGGGAGGCAGCAGUAGGGAAUAUUGGACAAUGGGGGAAACCCUGAUCCAGCAAUGCCGCGUGAGUGAAGAAGGCCUUCGGGUUGUAAAACUCUUUCAUAAAUGAUGAUAAUGACAUUAGUUUAAGAAGAAGCUCCGGCUAACUUCGUGCCAGCAGCCGCGGUAAUACGAAGGGGGCUAGCGUUGUUCGGAAUUACUGGGCGUAAAGCGUAUGUAGGCGGAUCAAAAAGUUAGAUGUGAAAUCCCUGGGCUCAACCCAGGAACUGCAUUUAAAACUAGUGAUCUAGAAUUUGGUAGGGGUUAGUAGAAUUUCCAGUGUAGAGGUGAAAUUCGUAGAUAUUGGAAAGAAUACCAGUGGCGAAGGCGACUAACUGGGCCAUUUUUGACGCUGAGAUACGAAAGCGUGGGUAGCAAACAGGAUUAGAUACCCUGGUAGUCCACGCAGUAAACGAUGAGUGCUAGUCGCUGGGACAAUAGUUUCAGUGUCGAAGCUAACGCAUUAAGCACUCCGCCUGG
This 788-nucleotide ribosomal RNA is filed under the name uncultured Alphaproteobacteria bacterium. RNAcentral describes it as "bacterial SSU rRNA". It matches the Rfam family "Bacterial small subunit ribosomal RNA", at positions 40 to 876 of the family's 1533-position model. Lineage: Bacteria; Pseudomonadati; Pseudomonadota; Alphaproteobacteria. The record is from RNAcentral.